ACGUCGUCGGGGUUGACCCUCAUGCCGUGCGACACGCCCGUGAUGUGUGGGCCCCACGCCGGCACGUCUGUGGGUGGGGAGCAUGGGGCGCUGAACACGGGCGAGGAUAAGUGCUGAACAGUAAGGCGGAAAGCAUGCAGUAUAUCCAGCUGGCACUUGGUUCUACGUCCCCUUCGGCAGGAACAGACUAACGAGGACUCACCAACAACCGUCAUAUUCUGGGCGUGGUCGUCGGUCUCGAAGUAGGGCUUGUCGCCGAGGACUUCGCAGCGGGAACACCUUCAUGGCUGGACUUCUACCGGGAAGGUAUUCGUAGAACUGGUCUACGCCACGAUACCACUUGACGGAGUAGAGAGCCUGGGGAAGCUCUUCGCUGUGUUCAUAGCUGCACGUCA
This is a long non-coding RNA of Penaeus chinensis, 395 nucleotides long. RefSeq lists it as uncharacterized. NCBI's taxonomy places the organism in Eukaryota, Metazoa, Arthropoda, Malacostraca, Decapoda, Penaeidae. The record is from RefSeq and is a predicted model, not a curated record. The transcript is spliced from 3 exons.